This 446-nucleotide ribosomal RNA is filed under the name uncultured bacterium. RNAcentral describes it as "partial 16S ribosomal RNA". It matches the Rfam family "Bacterial small subunit ribosomal RNA", at positions 338 to 795 of the family's 1533-position model. The record is from RNAcentral.
CCUACGGGUGGCAGCAGUCGAGAAUCAUUCACAAUGGGGGAAACCCUGAUGGUGCGACGCCGCGUGGGGGAAUGAAGGUCUUCGGAUUGUAAACCCCUGUCAUGUGGGAGCAAAUUAAAAAGAUAGUACCACAAGAGGAAGAGACGGCUAACUCUGUGCCAGCAGCCGCGGUAAUACAGAGGUCUCAAGCGUUGUUCGGAAUCACUGGGCGUAAAGCGUGCGUAGGCUGUUUCGUAAGUCGUGUGUGAAAGGCGCGGACUCAACCCGCGGACGGCACAUGAUACUGCGAGACUAGAGUAAUGGAGGGGGAACCGGAAUUCUCGGUGGAGCAGUGAAAUGCGUAGAUAUCGAGAGGAACACUCGUGGCGAAGGCGGGUUCCUGGACAUUAACUGACGCUGAGGCACGAAGGCCAGGGGAGCGAAAGGGAUUAGAUACCCGUGUAGUC